RNAcentral lists this ribosomal RNA (274 nucleotides) under uncultured bacterium. RNAcentral describes it as "partial 16S ribosomal RNA". It matches the Rfam family "Bacterial small subunit ribosomal RNA", at positions 523 to 796 of the family's 1533-position model. The record is from RNAcentral.
AUACAGAGGGUGCGAGCGUUAAUCGGAUUUACUGGGCGUAAAGCGUGCGUAGGUGGUUGGGUAAGUCAGAUGUGAAAGCCCCGGGCUUAACCUGGGAACUGCAUUUGAUACUGCCUAGCUAGAGUUUGGUAGAGGGAAGUGGAAUUCCAGGUGUAGCGGUGAAAUGCGUAGAUAUCUGGAGGAACACCAGUGGCGAAAGCGGCUUCCUGGACCGAAACUGACACUGAGGCACGAAAGCGUGGGGAGCAAACAGGAUUAGAAACCCCGGUAGUCC